UACGUAGGGGGCAAGCGUUGUCCGGAUUUAUUGGGCGUAAAGAGCGUGUAGGCGGCCAUACAGGUCAGCUGUGAAAACUCGAGGCUCAACCUCGAGACGUCGGUUGAAACCGUAUGGCUAGAGUCCGGAAGAGGAGAGUGGAAUUCCCGGUGUAGCGGUGAAAUGCGCAGAUAUCGGGAAGAACACCUAUGGCGAAGGCAGCUCUCUGGGACGGUACUGACGCUGAGACGCGAAAGCGUGGGGA
This 244-nucleotide ribosomal RNA is filed under the name uncultured bacterium. Its description in RNAcentral is "partial 16S ribosomal RNA". It matches the Rfam family "Bacterial small subunit ribosomal RNA", at positions 524 to 767 of the family's 1533-position model. The record is from RNAcentral.